AUCGCUUCUCGGCCUUUUGGCUAAGAUCAAGUGUA
RNAcentral lists this small nuclear RNA (35 nucleotides) under Mus musculus (house mouse). RNAcentral describes it as "piRNA piR-mmu-68423098". RNAcentral also lists the same sequence under 1 other name. Lineage: Eukaryota; Metazoa; Chordata; Mammalia; Rodentia; Muridae. The record is from RNAcentral.